RNAcentral lists this long non-coding RNA (1266 nucleotides) under Malus domestica (apple). RNAcentral's name for it is "long non-coding RNA (MDOM_LNC017788)". Lineage: Eukaryota; Viridiplantae; Streptophyta; Magnoliopsida; Rosales; Rosaceae. The record is from RNAcentral.
UGAUAGGAGCAUAUUUAUGCGACUUAGUAUGUUUGUUUUCGUGCAUUUAUGUUCUUAGUUCUUAGUUAUGUUAGUAGUUUAAGCCAUUUUUUGUGUGUUUGUAGGUUCUAUGGGCCAAGGAUGCAAGAAGAUGCAUUUUGGAGCACUUUGGAGCAUUUUUGGGCUAAGAUUGGAUGGUGCAAACAUGGAGACAUGAGGAUGGACGAAUUUGAUGUUUCAAUGGGCUAGAAAUCUACAUGUGUGUGUGCAAAGUGUUGGCCUACAACUUCAAACAUCAUAGCUGCCAUGUGAUGGCAGAAAAUGUGUUUAUUGCUAGCUAAAUGGAUGAAGAACAUGCAUGUGCAAGUAUAAAACACACAUGGGCAGCAAGAAGGAAAGAAAACAGCAACACACACACACACAUGGGCAGCAAGGAAUCAGAAAUUAAAGCAUGGAAGAGUGGGAAGUGAUGAUGACAAACACAAACACACACACACGGCAAUGGAAUGGAGUUGGCAGAUUUCUACAACUUUGAUCAGCUGACUUUGGGAGCAAAUUGCGAACAGCUCAGAAUGAAUUAGAGAAUGAGCCUUAUAUGUUUGGAAAGCUACAGAUGUCUAUUUUCUAGAACAUUUCGCGGAUUGUUAAUAUCAUUUUCUAGAAGAAGUUAUAGGCAUUUGAGUAAGGGAAGGUCUAGCUGACGACAACUUGCAGAUUGGAAUUGCAAGCAAACAAAAGAAAAGAAAUAAAACAAGGGGAGUGAAUGGACAGCAGAAAAGCAAGGAAAUUGGACCACUAUGAAGUGAUUUCUUGUUGGUCUCCCACUUAUAGCUUUGGGUGGCUUUGGCAUGAUUAUUUCUAGGUGGAAAAGAGCACAAAGACAGCACACACACACAAGGCAAAAAAAAGCUGGCAGCAUCUUCCUUCAUUGCCGUAGGUUUUUUUUCCCUUGUCCAUUACCUUGCAAUUGCUUGACAUUUCCAACCUCUAUAUAAGCACCAUUCAGCCUUCAAGGAUGACACACAGCCAUUCAUACACAUUUCCAUUAGUUCCAAGGCUUGCAAAGAAGGAGGAGUGCUUGGAGUUGUGCUAGCCAUUCCAUUGGAGUUGUUGGAGCAUUCUAGGUGUCUUCUACUUUGUUUCUCUAUGUUUAAUAUCAAUUGUUUUUGUUUAAUUGCAAGUAUGAGGAACUAAACCCUUACUUAGCUAGGGUGAAGUUCGAAGCCAUGAACAUGUUUGAGAUAUGAAUUGAUUUCUUCCAAUUGUGAUUUAAUAAGUUGUGAAUGC